AAUUCGCGUCACGAAUUCAGUUCAGUUCAACCAGUGGCACCAGUGGCACGGAACUAUCGGGACGUGUAGUUGGCGAGAAUUGUUGCAAACGUGGAAAUACCGGCCUUAGCGACGUUGUACCUGUUCCUGUAGGCCAGAAAUGACACUUGCACAAAUAUUGAGGGAGAAGAUCCCUCGCCGAGGCAUCCUCGGAGCUAUGAUGUUUCUGGCUUGUAUGUUUUCUUACUUUAUACGGACAAACCUUUCCAUUAUCAUCGUCGCCAUGGUUAAAAAUGGGACAGACACACGUGAAGAAAAUGGGACAGACACACGUGAAGAAAAUGGGACACGCACAGAUGAUUUCGGUGAGCGAUACGAGUGGAACGAAAUCGUUCAGGGAGCUGUACUAAUGGCUUACUACUGCGGCGUAGUUCCGGCUAGUAUUCCAGCCGGUAUUUUAGCAGAAAAAUUUGGAGGUUCCAAGGUUGUUGCAUUGGCGACUCUCAUUCCUGCUCUACUGAACCUGCUUAUGCCAUGGGCGUCUAGUGUUCACUACAUGUUCGCUAUCGUCCUGCGGUUCCUGAUGGGAUUCUUCGGGAGUGCUGUGUAUCCGGCUCUACAUGCAAUGAUCGCCAGGUGGGUGCCACCCAACGAGAAGGGAAUGUUCGUAUGGGCUAUGCAAGGUGGACCCUUCGGUACCGUAGUCACGUUUGUUCUCUGCAGUCAAGUGAUCGACACAUAUGGGUGGGUGGCUGCGUACUACGUGACCAGCGGACUCAUUCUUGUAUUUUUCGCCCUCUGGGUAUACCUGAUACAUGACACACCCGACCAGCAUCCGAGUAUCACAGAACGAGAAAAGGAAUAUAUUAAGAAACAAAUUGGAACGAGCGUCAGUAAGCAAAAAGUAAAACUUCCUGUUGUCGCUGUCAUCACAUCGCUUCCAUUCUUGGUCCUACUCUGGGCUCACUUUGCUAACAUGUGGGGAAUCUACUUCAUAUCCACAAACGGACCCAAGUAUACGCUCCAGGUUCUUGGGUUCAAUAUGAAAUCCGGUGGCUUUAUGACUGGACUGCCUUACAUUGCCAGACUUGGGGCCGGUGUUUUGUUUGCCGCUGCCGGAGACUACUUACUGAGAAACAAGUACCUGACGGUCGUGUGGUUGCGCAAGAUUUUCAUGAUUCCCUCUCACAUGGGCCCAGCUUUGUGUUUACUCGGUAUGACCUACGCGGGAAAGGACAAAUUCUGGGGAAUUUCUAUGAUGAUACUGGCCUUGGCCUUCAACGGUGCCGCCUGCCAGACAAGUCUCCAAAAUCACCAAGAUCUGUCACCGAACUUCGCGGGAUCCCUUUACGGUGUAAUGAACACGAUUGGCAGCUUUCCAGGUUUCAUUAUUCCUGCGGUUGUCGGUGUUCUGACUAAUGAGCAUAACAGCGUUGAAACAUGGCGUCCCAUGUUUUGGAUUUCCGCAAUUGUUUUCAUGUCCGCAACCGUCUUGUUUUGGCUCUUUGGCUCGGCGAAUAUUCAGCCGUGGAACGACAUAAGCAACGGAGGAGUUGAAGGAGCUAUUUCUACCAUCCCCGACGAAGAGAUGAAAAUGACAAUGAACAACAAAAAGGCUCAGGUCAUGUCCGAUGAUGAAGAGGAAGAGAAUGCCCGUAUUUAGUCUUACAUUACGACGUAAAAAGAAUAGAAGUGGUCCCACUAAUCACCUCGACUGUCAAUGAGGAUUUUUCCAAUUGUUGCGAUCCACCUACCUGACAGUUUUGUAUUCAACGGUCGAAUGCAGUUGGAUUCUUGUCUCUGAGUUUGUGGUUUGUCUUGAAUUGAGCUAGACGUCGAGGAUGAAAUGGAAGCUCGAAGGUUAGCUUUCAAGAGGAGCUGCGUUCUUUUCGCCGAAGCUGAUAUGGGCACUGUGUGCAACUGACUCGAUAGUGUAACAGAAGACUGAUUUUCGCUGAUUUUGGAAGGUGUUGCCAUCACGUAACAGGGGUUGUAUGCGAGUAAAAUAUCCUGAGUUCUGAGUA
RNAcentral lists this unclassified non-coding RNA (2003 nucleotides) under Neodiprion pinetum (white pine sawfly). Its description in RNAcentral is "putative inorganic phosphate cotransporter, transcript variant X8". Lineage: Eukaryota; Metazoa; Arthropoda; Insecta; Hymenoptera; Diprionidae. The record is from RNAcentral.